GAUAAAGAGCAGAAAGACAAGAAGGAGAAAAAGAACAAGGAAGAGAAAGGCAAGAGCAAAGGGGAAUCAGAAGAAGAAACCGAGGAAGAGAAGGAUGAUGAAAAAGGGAAAAACAAGGAAUCGGAUGAAGAAGACGAGAGACAGACAGAGGAAGAGGAGAAUGAUGAAAAAGGGGUGAAGAAGGAUAAGGAGAAGAAAAACAAGGAAAAGAAAGAGAAAAAGGACAACGAAAAGAAAGAUAAGAGCAAAGAGGAAACGGAGGAAGAGAAGGAUGAUGAAAAAGGAGAGAAGAAGGAUAAAGAGAAGAAAUGCAAGAAGAAUAAGAAAGAGAAAAAGGAUAAAGAAACGAAAGACAAGAGCAAAGAGGUGUCGGAUGAAGAGGAAGAGAAAGAUGACGAAGAAGGGGAGAAGAAGGAUAAAAAAAAGAAACACAAUAAGGAUAAGAAAGAAACAAAGGAUAAAGAAAAGAAAUACAAGAGCAAAGAGG
This 487-nucleotide long non-coding RNA is filed under the name Nicotiana tabacum (common tobacco). RNAcentral's name for it is "long non-coding RNA (NTAB_LNC007280)". The record is from RNAcentral. Lineage: Eukaryota; Viridiplantae; Streptophyta; Magnoliopsida; Solanales; Solanaceae.